CAACUACUCCCUCUAUCCAAAAUUUCUUGUCUUAGAUUUUUCUAGAUACAGAUGUAUCUAAUACUAAAAUGUGACUUGAUACAUCCGUAUCUAGACAAAUCUAAGACAAGAAUUUUGGGACGGAGGGACUACUUU
Molecule: non-coding RNA, 135 nt
Organism: Triticum aestivum (bread wheat)
Lineage: Eukaryota; Viridiplantae; Streptophyta; Magnoliopsida; Poales; Poaceae
Source: Rfam